RNA transcript from Drosophila rhopaloa, 3599 nucleotides. It is a transcript of the gene named G-protein coupled receptor Mth-like, with no coding region annotated. The transcript has 8 exons. The record is from RefSeq and is a predicted model, not a curated record. Lineage: Eukaryota; Metazoa; Arthropoda; Insecta; Diptera; Drosophilidae.
UCUUGUGAGUAAUGAAUGAGUUGCGGUUAUGGAUGGAGAUUAAAAUUUGUCCGCUCACUCGAAUCAGUCGUUAAAAACCCAUGGUCCGGAAUACUCAAAGUAAAUUCGUCUUCGUUUUUAAUUCUUUGCCAUCCUUGUAUCCUUUUUUAUAAGGGUGCUGAAGGCUUAACUACUCAUCUUAUUAAAUUAAAUCAAUGUUGGCAAAAAAUAUUCUUUACGAGUUACUCAUCUUAUAAAAUAAAAAAUCAUAAAAUUAAUUAGUAAUGCUAGAAAAUUGUUUGUCUUGCUUUAACAAUUUGUAACAAUCAUUUAAAAUCUUUUAUUUUUAGAUUCUUUACGGAAAAAUGCGAAUACUUCUGGGAUGCUUGACUACAGUUAUUUUGGCAAUGGUGCGAAAAACAAAUUCAGAGAUUCCUGGCUGCGAUUACUAUGACACUGUGGAUAUCUCGGAAGGCCAAAGGUUCCCAAAUGGUUCUUUUCUAUUUGAAAACCUUGUCAUACCCUCCCAUUUGACGGGUGUAUAUGACUUCAAACUUUUAGCGAAUAACUCUAAGGAGAAUGUAGCGAGCCACAUGAGAGGAUGUGUCUGUAAACUGAGGACCUGCGUAAGAUUUUGCUGCGGUCACUACGACAUAUUGGAAGAAAAUCAGUGCCAGAAUGACACGACACAGGACGAGCUGAACCAACUCGAUCCAUACCUGAACAUGACCCUUAAUGACGGUUCGGUGGUCAAACGGCACUUUAAAGACAAAAUGAUCGUACAGUGGGAUUUCCCAAUGCCGUGUAACAGCAUGUUCUACCUAGACAUCCGGGAAAAAACCGAUGAGUACUCUCUUUUCGAGAAUGGAACCUUUCUACGGCACUAUGAUAACGCAACCCUGAACAAGCGGCAAUACUGUCUUCAGCAUUAUCUUUUCGAAGACAAAACCGAUAAUUCAACUUUCUUCCGAAUCGCACCACACAACUGCAUGACAGAGGAAUUGAAACAGACACGCCAAAAGACACAGAAAACGUGGCAGACUGUCGCCAUGGUUAUAUCGCUGAUAUGUAUGAUUCUUACGAUCGGCGUAUAUCUUUUCGUCGAAGAGCUAAGAAACUUGCUGGGCAAGUGCUUCAUCUGCUACAUGGUCAGCCUGUUCAUAGCCUACCUUUUCCUGCUGCUCAACUUGUGGAGCUUAACGAAAGAUUUCUGCAUUACAGCAGGCUUUAUAGGAUACUUUUUCGUCAUGGCUGCGUUCUUGUGGCUUUCCGUCAUCAGCCUGCAGAUCUGGAUAACGCUCAACGGCCUUGGGUUGAAAUAUGACUUCCUGUCAGACAAUCCAUUUCCGUCCUACAACAUGUUCGCCUGGGGCAUGUCGAUUGUCUUGACCGGAGUCACCUAUCUAGUUGAUAAGUUCGCAGAUCACGAAAAUUGGACGCCUCAAAUGGGCGCCAAAGAGGAAUGUUGGAUCUAUACCAAAGAUUGGUCUGCCAUGAUCUACUUCUACGGCCCGAUACUAUUGCUAAUUAUCUUCAACAUAACCAUGUUUAUCCUGACGGCUCGAAGUAUAAUAAUAGUGAAAAGGACCAUUAAUAAUUUUACUAACAAGCAAGAGAGGACGAAAAAGCUGAAAUCGGAUACAGAGUCAUACAGCUACUUUCUGCGGCUCUUUAUCAUCAUGGGACUCCCUUGGAGCCUUGAGAUAAUCUCCUACUUGGUGCAAAGCGAGGAUCGAUGGGCCGAGGUUUUUAAAGUGGCUGACUACUUUAAUUGGUCCCAGGGCACCAUUGUAUUCAUUGUCUUUAUAUUAAAGCGCAAAACGCUGAAACUUAUAAUGAAGAGAACACUUAAAAAAUCACGGCUGAGAUCCAACAAUAUGAAAUCAACCCGAGGGUCAGCUGGUGGAUACGUCAGUAAGGCUCCAAACACAACCCUGUACUCAACCAGUGUGUAGAUAUCUCGCAAAAAUGUGAUUUUCAUUAAUACUUAAAUUAAAUAAAUUUAUUGAAUAUUUAUUUAUAUUUAUUAUUAGAUUACACAAAUUUCAUAUAAAAACAUUUUUCUGUAAAAAUAAAGUAUUGAGAGCAAUGCAAGUUAUAGUUAUAACUUAAUAAUUAUAUUUGGUUUACAUUUAAAUUAAGAGGCUGGUCUUGAGUAUAAAAUACAAUUGUUUAAGUUUUUAUUUUGUUUUAAGUUCAUAAUGUUUAGAACUAAUGUAUGCAUUUAACAUUAAUGCAUGGCUCUCUUACGCUGCAAUUUUAAAAAUUCAAAGAUUGAUUCCUCCAGUCAAUCGAGUAAAGCUUAAAUCAAAAGCUUAUUUUAUGUUUUCAUAAUUUUAUGGCCCUGUUUUAUGGUGUCAGCUUUUCCAAGCCAGCCAUGCUAAUAUUAUGGCUUUUAGCUACCCUUCAAGUAUUUCAAAAAUUGUUAUUUUUAUUCGCCAGGGGAGGACUUUGAAACCAUAUUUACACGGCUCAAACUGUAUGCUUUAUCCCAAAAUUUUAGAGUUCGCAUUAAAAUUUGCAUUACUGAGUGGCAAGUGUCAUGACACAUUCCCCUAGCUAAAGUUGUCAACUUUUCGCCGAGUUUCACAUUUCGCAAACUGUGUCGCAUUACACGUUUUCAGAUUCAAAAUUGUUUGGCUCGGCUGCUGCUGUUGUCUCACUAAUUGUCACUAAAUAUGGCUUCAGUUAAUUCCAGUUUCAGUUACUUAGCAGCUUAGCUACACAAGUGACUGGAAAUCGAGAGAGUGCCGAGGGAUACACACCCGUCCAUCAUUUGAUAAACUGUCUGUCAGUCAUCCAGUCAGUUAGUUAGCAGGGAGUAAAACGAUUGAAGGCAUGCGAACAAUUCUCGAACUUCAACUCCGACCAGGAAUUCCAUGCCCUGAGCCACAAAGGAAAUGGCUGCAAAUGAGCCAGGCAUUUGAAUUUGGCCAGGCCAUGUUCAAAGCUCAAAGGCGGCCAAGUGCCUGACUUCGGAUCUGGAUCGCAAAAGAAAAACCAAAACUCAAAGCUCUUCCUGGACGAAAUCCAAUUGACAGACAAACAUGCAAGCGACCAUCGAUAAAUGAAAAUCCACAAAAAAACGAUUGGACUUGGCCCAAGACUCUGGCUCAACUUCUCUUCACUUUUCGAUGACACACUUAAAAAAGAAAUUCUAAUGAAUUGUGCAAUUUCAAUUUUUAAGUAUCUACAACCACGUUUUCUUUCAGAGUCUGCUUUGCUGUGCAUAAAUAGAAGGAAAAUUAUCUUUUUCUAUAUAUUACAAAUAUUAAGGUACAAAAUGUUCAAAGAAUUUAACGUGUGCCUUAAAUAUUGUAGCCUGUAAAUGAAAAUAAAUUCAUAAAAUUAAUAUAACAAAGCAUGCUUAGGACUGGCAGGGAUAUCCUGCUUAGGACUGUUUUUUAAAAGCUUAUUAUCAUAAAGAAACCUUGAAAAGGAAUAAAUUCAUAAAACUAUCUCUGCGAUACCUCAAAUUUUUUGUGAAGUGUGAAACCCAAAAGCAAUGCGGUAAGGUAAUAAAUGCAACUAGAAUAUGAAAAAUCAAACCUCAAAUCAAGAAAAAUUUCUCACAUCCCUUAAUCCAUUAAAUUUCCUGAUUCUAAGCAAAAAUUUAUUGC